GACGAACGCUGGCGGCGUGCUUAACACAUGCAAGUCGAACGGAAAGGCCCUGCUUGCAGGGUACUCGAGUGGCGAACGGGUGAGUAACACGUGGGUGAUCUGCCCUGCACUUCGGGAUAAGCCUGGGAAACUGGGUCUAAUACCGGAUAGGAGCCAUUUUUAGUGUGAUGGUUGGAAAGUUUUUUCGGUGUAGGAUGAGCUCGCGGCCUAUCGGCUUGUUGGUGGGGUAAUGGCCUACCAAGGCGGCGACGGGUAGCCGGCCUGAGAGGGUGGACGGCCACAGUGGGACUGAGAUACGGCCCAGACUCCUACGGGAGGCAGCAGUGGGGAAUAUUGCACAAUGGGAGCAAGCCUGAUGCAGCGACGCCGCGUGGGGGAUGACGGCCUUCGGGUUGUAAACUCCUUUCGCUAGGGACGAAGCUUUUUGUGACGGUACCGAGAUAAGAAGCACCGGCUAACUACGUG
Molecule: ribosomal RNA, 465 nt
Filed under: uncultured bacterium
Lineage: Bacteria
Description: partial 16S ribosomal RNA
Rfam family: Bacterial small subunit ribosomal RNA
Source: RNAcentral